Molecule: ribosomal RNA, 947 nt
Filed under: Vellaria pellucidus
Lineage: Eukaryota; Foraminifera; Allogromiidae
Description: bacterial SSU rRNA
Rfam family: Eukaryotic small subunit ribosomal RNA
Source: RNAcentral
AAGGGCACCACAAGAACGCGUGGAGCAUGUGGCUUAAUUUGACUCAACGCGGGAAAUCUUACCGGGUCCGGACACACUGAGGAUUGACAGGCGAUUGUGGUUUCUCCCUUGUUGGAGUUUCCACUAUAAAUAUGCUAGUCCUUUCAUGAUUGUGUGAUAGGUGGUGCAUGGCCGUUCUUAGUUCGUGGAGUGAUCUGUCUGCUUAAUUGCGUUUCACAGAGGGCUCUUUAAUUUCUAUCUGUUGCGCAGCACCUCGUUGUGUUUGUCGCACGGUAGAUCAAAAAGCCCUGAAGGCAACGAACGUGACCGCAACCUCUUGUUGCCUCCUUUUUUAUAAAACAUGGUUGUCUGGUUAACUUCGGUUCCAGGCUUCCUGCACGGAGUUUUUGCAAACUAGAGGGACCGCUGACAACUUUUAAAACAGAGGAAGGUUGCGGCAAUAACAGGUCUGUGAUGCCCUUAGAUGUUCCGGGCUGCACACGUGCUACAAUGAUUAUUGCAGUGAGCAUCUAAUUUUACUAAGACUCGAGUUUGUGUUUAGUGCUUCGGUACUUUACACAGCUCGGUCACCGACCUACUUCGAAAGUAAGUAGGUAAUCAAUUCGAAGUAAUGAUUUCCUUUUCGCACAUACUUAUAUCCCAUGCUUGCAUCCGUGCUCUUGGCUUGUCCUUGAGUAUUGUUUGGUGCCUGGGAUAUGUGCUCCAUUAAUUCAUGGUGGGGACAGACCAUUGUUAAUUGUUGGUCUCGGUCUCAACUAGGAAUGCCUUGUACGGGUCCUUGGUUCAACAAACCACCCGGAAUAUGUCCCUGCCCUUUGUACACACCGCCCGUCGCUCUUACCGAUGGACUUCUCUGUGAGUAUAGAGGACUGGCUAGCUAUUUAUAGCAAGCUAUGGAAAUCUACGCGAACAGCGAGGUCUAAAGGAAAGAGAAGUCGAACAAGGCA